UUUCACAAUUUAAUUCAAAAACAGAUUAUUGAACGUGUCAAUAAAUCUCGAGCUUUUUCUAUAACAGCAGAUGAAACUGCAGAUAUAGCCGGCAUAGAACAACUUUCAAUCUGUGUACGGUAUUUAAAUUAUAAGGACAGUAAUUAUAAAAUAUGUGAAGAUUUUUUAAGCUUUAUCCCUGUUGAAGAUGUAACAGGGAAAGGUUUAUCAAAUGCUAUUUUGAAUUUCCUAGAAUAUUCUGUAAUAGAUUGUACAUAUUUAUUUGGGCAAGGUUAUGAUGGGGCUAAUACUAUGAGUGGUGAACUUCACGGAGUUCAAUCUUACAUAAAAAAAAAAUAUAAUUUAGCUCUAUACUCACACUGUGCUGCCCAUAGUUUCAAUUUAGCAGUUAGUGCUGCAUGUAGUAGCCCUCAAGUCAAAAACUGCCUUGGUACAGUCCAAUCUAUUUAUAACUUCUUUAAUACCCCAAAAAGGCAAAUUGCACUUCAGGAUGCAAUAAAAAAUAAUGACACUUUGUUACAAAAAAAAAAAAAGAAACUUAAAAAAUAUUGUGCAACAAG
This is a long non-coding RNA of Daktulosphaira vitifoliae (grape phylloxera), 560 nucleotides long. RefSeq lists it as uncharacterized. Lineage: Eukaryota; Metazoa; Arthropoda; Insecta; Hemiptera; Phylloxeridae. The record is from RefSeq and is a predicted model, not a curated record. The transcript is spliced from 2 exons.